CCUGCGUGAAGAGAGCGAUCUGCGCGUCCGACUGCGAAUAGUCGUUUACGAACCACCAUCCGCGAAAGAACAUGGGAACAGAGCCCAACAACCAGCGCCCAAAAACGUACAGACGACUAUUUCGUCCCGGUUGUGCUCCGCCACCGGACGUGGACCGUGAAUCAGCGCCAGGUUGAAGGAGAACCCAGUUGACCACCAAAACCGCAGCGAUACCAAGCCCCCAAAACAAUCUGACAAACGAAAGUGAAAAGGCAGAGAAUCUGGAAGGUACAGUGAGAGAGCGACGAGUAAUACGAUCAGCUGAAGGCUACGAUUCCCCGAUACGGAUACGGAUACGGAUACGGAUUUUCGAAACGAACCGCUACACAAACCAUGGCCCUCCCCAAGCAAGCGAUCGACGUGAUGAAUGCGACGGGCUGCAAGAGCUGCCGCAAGCUGGCAAUAUUUAUUUAUGUCAUCUGGCUGGAAAUAGUGUCCGUGUUGCUUGUGCAGUGCAUCUUGGGCCAAUUGGGCCCGCAAACGGAUAACUUCAAGCGGAAGAAACGGUGCCGAGGACCGCCGUUCUGAAUGCCAUUGCGGGACGACGAUAUCGUCGAGUACCUUUUGGUGUUCUUUUAACGGAACUGAUAGAAUGGUGCGGUUAGUAAGGAGGAGCCGAUGUUAGUGGCCUCUAUUUUAUGCCUAGCAUAAGACACCUAACAUUUAGAGACUGAGGACGUAUAUCUUAAUUUUCAAUGUCGAAGAAUGAAGAGAACCGUUUAUUUACAUUUCGAAAAAUGGGGAGAAAAAAUCUUAAAUCCAAUUGUAAGAGACUAUCAACAUCGAAGACCUUGAUUCCGAUCUUGCCCAUAAAUCAAGAUCCUUUCCCUUUGACUGCCUAUCUUAUGUAAUAUUUACACUAAGUUUACAGUGAUCGCUGAUUUUGGAUUGAUGUAAUCAAGACAUUUGAUGUAAUAAAAGCAAUGUAAAUGAUACGCAACAUGA
Long non-coding RNA from Anopheles aquasalis, 984 nucleotides. RefSeq lists it as uncharacterized. Lineage: Eukaryota; Metazoa; Arthropoda; Insecta; Diptera; Culicidae. The record is from RefSeq and is a predicted model, not a curated record.